Long non-coding RNA from Neopelma chrysocephalum (saffron-crested tyrant-manakin), 1899 nucleotides. RefSeq lists it as uncharacterized. The transcript is spliced from 2 exons. Lineage: Eukaryota; Metazoa; Chordata; Aves; Passeriformes; Pipridae. The record is from RefSeq and is a predicted model, not a curated record.
GGCGCUGCGGGGCCGGGCCAGGGGCGAAGGGGCCGCACCUGCCCGCGGCAGCACCCGGCGGGGCUCAACGUGGGAAUCCCUCUGAAAAUAUAAUAAAAAUAGAGAAAGAAAACAGAACAGAGGGAGGAGGAGCCCGGGGCGUUGCUGUCCAGCCCGGUGCCCGCCCGCUGCCUUGGCCGGGAGUCGGUGGGAGGACCAGGGGCCCCAGGGAUGGGCGGGAGCACGGGCAGCCCCCUCGCCUGUGUGCCGUAGGUAAAGCUGUUGUGCAAGAGCCAGCGGUCAGGAACAGGCUGUACUAAGCAGCCGUGGCCGGCGCUGCCUCCAGUACGCAGAAAACUACCCCGUCCACGACCACGCGGACCAGAAACGCUCUCUUUGUUAAUGACGUUAAUUGUGAACUUAAUUAGGCGUCUGAAGUUGCAGCGAAGAGGUCAAAGACGUGGGCACGCUGAACACAGACAAGCUGAUGAGAUGGGCAGGACUGAGCCAACAUCCGGAUGGCGGGACCAGGGUGACGCAGACGUUGGCACACUGCUGGGGUCAGAGAUCUUGCAGCCCAGAAGUUUCAUUGCACUAAACAUGUCCCCUGAAGCAGAGGUUGUCCCGCAAUUGUCACACAGAUGUUAACUGCACAUACCCUCUGGGAUACAGUGUCCCUUGGGCUUUGCCCGGUCUCCAAAAGAAAAGCUCUUGAUGGUCAAGGACACCCUGGACAGAUGGCAGCCUCGGGACUUUUGCAAAGGCAAACAUAAUAGCAACCCGUGUUGUCUGUCACCAGCUUGCCUUGGGGUCCCAGCCGGGUUGGCCAUGCUGGCACAUGUGGUGGCAGACAGCAGGGGCCGUGCAAGGAUGAGGAAGGGGGACAGAAGGGCAGAGCAAACCCCUACUCUGGGGCAGAAAGGUAUCACCCCUUCAAGAGGGCACUAGGCACCGCAGAAUGGGCAGCUGGUGGUGUCACCAGGAUGGGCCUCUGGCCACCAGGCAGGGCUGACCCCGCUGUUCACCCCACAGCAAGGUGGCUGCUGUUGGAGCUGUGCUAUGGAGCACCUGCAUUUCCAUGGAAACCUCUCCCCGUGGCCUGAUGUUGGUCACUAAACAGGGGCAACUAGUGGCUGCAAUGGAGGGCCUUGGUAUUGCAGUCCUGGGGCUGCUGGGUGGGUUGGACCAGAGGGGUCAGUGGUUGGGGCAACUCUGAAUGGGGCUGCAGGUCACGGUUCAGAGGGCUUCAUGGGUGGGCAGUUUCCUUUGCCCAGAGAGCAGGGGCAACUCUGCCUGUUGGCAUGGAAAAGCCCAGGGGAAGGCAUCCCCAUGCCCUGGGCAAGAGCCCCAUCAGCCCAUUAGAGUCCCGUUGUGGCUUGGCUCUAUUGCAACCUGUCCCAGGCAUUCCACAGCAUCCCUGCCCCUGACAGCACAGCACAGCACAGCUCAGCUCGGCUCGGCUCAGCAUGGCAUGCUGCCUGCUUAUGGCACCUUUCUCACACUCUCCAUCUGCCCCAUGGCAAGGGACCUGCCUCCAUCCCAGACUAAUGCCCCCAGGCCAUGCCCACGCUGCUGCACCUCCAGCACACAGGGCGCAGGGUGGCAGGGGGUGCAGGACCUCCACAAUGGGCAGCACCAGUGGUCAUAGGGGGGUCCAGCACAGGUCUGGAGCACGGUGCUGAACAGGGUGAUGUGCCAGUGGCGCAGCAGUGGCAAGGAUACCCCGGGAGAGCAGAGCAGAGCCCCCCACCCAGCUCCCCGCACAGCCCGUCCCCCUGCCUGCCCCCGGCUCCCCUGGCUCGGGGCCUCGGCCCUGGCUCCACUGUCUGCACGCUGCCUGGAGGCGAUUUGGCCCCCCCUCCCCGUGCCUGGUUUCCAUGGCAACUCCAGUUGAAAUUACAUUAAAAAGAAAUGAAACCA